RNAcentral lists this ribosomal RNA (598 nucleotides) under Pterocladiella capillacea. RNAcentral's name for it is "eukaryotic LSU rRNA". It matches the Rfam family "Eukaryotic large subunit ribosomal RNA", at positions 1284 to 1900 of the family's 3401-position model. The record is from RNAcentral. RNAcentral also lists the same sequence under 1 other name. Lineage: Eukaryota; Rhodophyta; Florideophyceae; Gelidiales; Pterocladiaceae.
AACAACUCACCUGCCGAAUGAAUUAGCCCUGAAAAUGGAUGGCGCUUAAGCGGAUGACCGACACCAUGCCGUCUGAAUGAUAAAAUUUUCAGAUGAGUAGGAGGACGUGGUGAUCGUGACGAAGUAUGUGUGCGAACACGUAUAGAACGAUCACUAGUGCAGAUCUUGGUGGUAGUAGCAAAUAUUCAAGCGAGAUCCUUGAAGGGCGAAGCGGGGAAGGGUUCCACGCUAACAUUGAUUGGGCGUGGGUGAGUCGUUCCUAAGCCGAGUGGCAAUUGCUAAGUAACGGCGAAAGGGAAGCAGGUUUACAUUCCUGCACACGGAUGUGGAGGCGGUGACGCUUUAUUGAGGCGAACACAUUGGCGAUGGCGCUAGGCAGAGUUGUCUUUUCUGUUUAACCGUUUGUAUAUAUUGUGUGGAGUCCGAUUAUCGGGAGAAACACAUAUAUACGGGCAGAGCGCCGGGGCUUAUCCGGCGUCUAGCUCGCCAUCGACGAUCCUUGAAACUUUGCCUGCUGAAAUUUUAAUAUCCACGCCGUGGCGUACCGAUCACCGCAUCAGGUCCCCGAGGUGAACAGCCUCUGCUCAAUAUGAAAAAU